CUUCUGUGAUUUCUUCAAAUCUGAGAUUGGUAUAUAGUGAUGUUAUAUCAUAUGUAACAAGUAGUACAUUAUUAUCAAAUGUACAGUUUUAAAUAUUUCUGAUUAAGUCACCUGUAUCAGAAAUGUAUGUUUUUUGUGUUUUCACUAAGGGAAGUAAGAAAUAAUCUAAGUAUCUCCCUAACCUUUCAAGUGGUCCAUUACACUGUGAUAUUAUUGGUCUACCAGGGACAUUUAUAGUUUUUAUUUGAUUGUUCUCGUUUUCAAUGUUUUGUAAAACUUCACGGUCUAGUUUGUGAAUUUUAGGGAGGAAGUAUGCAAAAGGUGUUUUUAUAUAAUUUUGUUCAUUUUUAAUGUAUUUGAAAGAUAUUUCAUCAAUACAGUUUUCUUCUUUCAUUUUGUAAAUUAUUUCAUAUACAUUUUUCUGGGUGUUUUUAAGAUUUAUCUCUUGGAUUUGUUCAUAAUGUAUGUUAUCAUUCAAUUGUUUUUCACCUUCUUUUAGGUAGUCAGAAAGAUUUUGAAUGACUGUUACAUUGUUUUUAUCUGCUUUAUGAAUGAUGAUAUUUUCAUCGUGUAUAAGAUUCUUCAGACAAUUCCUUUCUUGUAGUGAAAGGUUAAAUUCAGGGACAUAUUUAGAUAAUUCCAUUUUCGUAUAGAAAAUAUAUUUUUCAAUAGGGUUGUCGGUAAA
This 685-nucleotide long non-coding RNA is filed under the name Mytilus galloprovincialis (Mediterranean mussel). The record is from RNAcentral. Lineage: Eukaryota; Metazoa; Mollusca; Bivalvia; Mytilida; Mytilidae.